RNAcentral lists this ribosomal RNA (253 nucleotides) under uncultured bacterium. RNAcentral's name for it is "partial 16S ribosomal RNA". It matches the Rfam family "Bacterial small subunit ribosomal RNA", at positions 524 to 776 of the family's 1533-position model. The record is from RNAcentral.
UACGUAGGGUGCAAGCGUUAAUCGGAAUUACUGGGCGUAAAGCGUGCGCAGGCGGCUUUGCAAGACAGAUGUGAAAUCCCCGGGCUUAACUUGGGAAUUGCGCUCGAAACUACGGUGCUGGAGUGUGGCAGAGGGAGGUGGAAUUCCACGUGUAGCGGUGAAAUGCGUAGAGAUGUGGAGGAACACCGAUGGCGAAGGCAGCCUCCUGGGCCAACACUGACGCUCAUGCACGAAAGCGUGGGGAGCAAACAGG